CCCAGAACUAAUCUAUAUGCUAAUUUGCACUUGAUAAUGCCGCCCCACAAUAUGGUAAUUGCUGUAAUGUUUUCCAGGGAGAAAAAAAAAAGUAGAAAUUGAGCGCUGGCUCCAUCUCUGAAGUCUGUGCAUUCGUGAGAACCUACCCACAAAGAGCACAGAGCAUGUUGUAAAGCCUGAGCCCACCUCCGUGGUUUGCCACAUUGAGAAUUAACCGUAACAGGAUUUCAUCUUGGACCCAAAUCAAGGCAGAGUAACUGAAACACUUUAUGAUGCGUCCUUUCCUGAGACUUGAUUACAAAAAAACAAAAGCACAAAUGGCAUCCUAUUGGGCUUCUGGAAUAAUGGUUUCCAAACGACUGCUUCAGACACAUCAGAAUUGCCUGGAGAGCUUUUUAAAAAAAUAUCCUCCUGGAGUCCACCAAUUGACUUUUCAGUUCAGUAGAAUCAGGAGUGAGGAUCAAGCUGGGAAGGGAAGCAGACAGCAGAUGAUGAAAUACCAUGUAUGCCAUGCCAGGAACGCUGGAUUUACCAUAGAAGCAAUGUGGUUCAGGAGCAGAUGAGUGACACGGUCUGAUGGGCAUAUGAGAAAGAUGACUCUGAUGCAAGUGAACAGAAUAAAUUGAGUGGUUGUGAGAUCGGCAUGAUGAGGUGCAAAGAGAGGGACAUAAGCACAUUGUCUUAGCUGGGCCAUUGCGGUAGCUCAGAAAUCUGGUCAACCAGUGACGAGGACAUGAUGGAAGUAGUACAGUGUGAGUAGGGGAGUGGAGAAGUAAAUAGAUAUGAAAGCUUUGUAUGGAAGAAUUAAUAGGAUAGUGUGAAUGUUGGGUGUGAGAACUAGAAGACAAAACUAAGGUGACUCCCGAUUAUCUGGUUUAGAUAAAAACAUAGUGGGAGGGGAAGCAGCAGUUGGGCUUGUGUGAUAAGGGGGAAGGAGGAAGGGUGAUCUGUGUUACAGGGUCAUGAAGAAUUCACUUGGAAACAAGGAGCUACCAAAGAAAAAGGA
Molecule: long non-coding RNA, 1006 nt
Filed under: Equus caballus (horse)
Lineage: Eukaryota; Metazoa; Chordata; Mammalia; Perissodactyla; Equidae
Description: lncRNA (ENSECAG00000050060.1)
Source: RNAcentral